UACGAAGGGGGCUAGCGUUGCUCGGAAUGACUGGGAGUAAAGGGCGUGUAGGCGGACGGCACAGUCAGGCGUGAAAUUCCUGGGCUCAACCUGGGGACUGCGUCUGAGACGUGUUGUCUUGAGUAUGGAAGAGGGUUGUGGAAUUUCCAGUGUAGAGGUGAAAUUCGUAGAUAUUGGAAAGAACACCGGUGGCGAAGGCGGCAACCUGGUCCAUUACUGACGUUGAGGCGCGAAAGCGUGGGGAGCAAACAGG
Molecule: ribosomal RNA, 253 nt
Filed under: uncultured bacterium
Lineage: Bacteria
Description: partial 16S ribosomal RNA
Rfam family: Bacterial small subunit ribosomal RNA
Source: RNAcentral